UUCCUACGGGGGGCAGCAGUAGGGAAUUUUCGUCAAUGGGCGCAAGCCUGAACGAGCAAUGCCGCGUGAACGAGGAAGGUCUUCGGAUCGUAAAGUUCUGUUGAAGGGGAAAAAGAGCGGAGAGAGGAAAUGGUCUCCGAUUGAUAUUACCCUUCGAGGAAGUCACGGCUAACUACGUGCCAGCAGCCGCGGUAAUACGUAGGUGGCGAGCGUUAUCCGGAUUUAUUGGGUUUAAAGGGUGCGUAGGCGGAUUUUUAAGUCAGCGGUAAAAUGUCCGGGCUCAACCCGGGCCGGCCGUUGAAACU
This 305-nucleotide ribosomal RNA is filed under the name uncultured bacterium. RNAcentral describes it as "bacterial SSU rRNA". It matches the Rfam family "Bacterial small subunit ribosomal RNA", at positions 336 to 634 of the family's 1533-position model. The record is from RNAcentral.